GAUGAAGAACGCAGCGAAAUGCGAUAAGUAAUGUGAAUUGCAGAAUUCAGUGAAUCAUCGAAUCUUUGAACGCACAUUGCGCCCUCUGGUAUUCCGGGGGGCAUGCCUGUUCGAGCGUCAUUAUAACCACUCAAGCUCUCGCUUGGUAUUGGGGCUCGCGGUUCCGCGGCCCCUAAAAUCAGUGGCGGUGCCUGUCGGCUCUACGCGUAGUAAUACUCCUCGCGAUUGAGUCCGGUAGGUCUACUUGCCAGCAACCCCCAAAUUUUACAGGUUGACCUCGGAUCAGGUAGGGAUACCCGCUGAACUUAAGCAUAUCAAUAAGCGGAGGA
Molecule: unclassified non-coding RNA, 329 nt
Filed under: soil metagenome
Description: partial contains 5.8S ribosomal RNA, internal transcribed spacer 2, and large subunit ribosomal RNA
Rfam family: 5.8S ribosomal RNA (bases 1-120)
Source: RNAcentral